Molecule: long non-coding RNA, 1260 nt
Filed under: Cyclopterus lumpus (lumpfish)
Lineage: Eukaryota; Metazoa; Chordata; Actinopteri; Perciformes; Cyclopteridae
Description: lncRNA (ENSCLMG00005000462.1)
Source: RNAcentral
CCACGAUCUAGAUGCCCACACUGCUACAGCUCAUCUUUUCAAUCUACCCAAACUCCAACCACCUCGCCAUUUGUAAAUUCAGGAUGAUUGAUGGCGGUCUUCUCACCUGUUGUACAGGUAUUUAUUGUUGUUUUCCAGCUCAGAACCAGCCCAGCUGCUCAAGUCUUUCAUCUGUACAGCCGGCUGCAGCACUGAUCCAGCAACGGCAAUGUUCUCCCCAGUAUCAUUCAUCUGUCACAUCCGUGGGGCAAACAGAUGGAACAAGCCACCAGGGCAUGCCACAGUCCAAAACACGAAAUUGUCCAUAUCCUGAAUCACUCAGUGGGCAGAAACUACUUACUACCCUUACUUAUUUCCCAGCAUGCCAGGAACCGCCUUUACAAGACAAUCGGAACAUAGAGCUUUUGCCCCUGAUUAAUGGAAAUGAAGCACAGUCCUUGCAUUCCUUACCUUGCAUGGAUGAUUUGCGGCUUCCUCGAUGUCUCUCUCCGUUAGAGUCGUCCACCUCAGCAGCAAAACAUCAGACUACCUUCAACCUACCUUCUUCUCCUUUUACCUUCAACAGCUCAACGAAUCAAAGCGAUAAUAUCCAGCUAAAGUCACCUGUACAUGGCUUCCGACCCUGGCUUGCAGUAAACUCCAGGCCACUACAAUUUCCUUUCAGUGCCAUCACUCACGGAGCAAAUAAAAGUGUGUCUUUACCCCAAGAUUCAAAGCAACUGCAAAAACAUCUGGAGUUGAAUCCACAGAGAACCCGGACAGCAUCUUGUUCUGUUAAAGAGGUGAAAGAGAGAGGAGCCAUAUCUGCUGGUCAUGAAAACGUCGCAGAAAGGAAAUCUGAUCUCAGGAAGAUAAAGAAAGAUUUAAAAUGUAAACAAGUUGACACUAAAGUUGAUGCUGCAGUGCCUAAAAAGAGGAAGCGUACAGGUUGUACACAAGAGGCCAUUCCCCCUUUGGCAUACAAGCAUGUGAAAGCCAGCAAUGGAACAAAAGGUCAAAUCAACCUGAGCGUUUGUUUAGUCAGUUUGUCGAGCAACAAUGUGCUGGCAAAGGAAAGAGAAAUGGCGGCCGGUUCAAACAAGCCAAACACAUUUGUAGGGAAAACAAAUGAACUGUCAACCAUCGCAGAAAGUCGGGGAGAGAAAACCAGAGAGCCUGGGGAUCUUAAUAAUAACCAGACGCGGAUCGGGACCAGGGGCUUUUUGAAAAAAACUCUAGCGACCCCAAGUAGCUCAAGCAUAGAAAGUGUGGUUUUAAAAC